UACGAAGGGGGCUAGCGUUGCUCGGAAUCACUGGGCGUAAAGGGUGCGUAGGCGGGUCUUUAAGUCAGGGGUGAAAUCCUGGAGCUCAACUCCAGAACUGCCUUUGAUACUGAAGAUCUUGAGUUCGGGAGAGGUGAGUGGAACUGCGAGUGUAGAGGUGAAAUUCGUAGAGAUCGGGAGGAACACCGGUGGCGAAGGCGGGUCUCUGGGCAUCUCCUGACGCUGAGGCGCGAAAGCGUGGGGAGCAAACGGG
This 253-nucleotide ribosomal RNA is filed under the name uncultured bacterium. RNAcentral describes it as "partial 16S ribosomal RNA". It matches the Rfam family "Bacterial small subunit ribosomal RNA", at positions 524 to 776 of the family's 1533-position model. The record is from RNAcentral.